This 484-nucleotide ribosomal RNA is filed under the name uncultured bacterium. RNAcentral describes it as "partial 16S ribosomal RNA". It matches the Rfam family "Bacterial small subunit ribosomal RNA", at positions 30 to 507 of the family's 1533-position model. The record is from RNAcentral.
AUUGAACGCUGGCGGCAGGCCUAACACAUGCAAGUCGAGCGGAUGAAGGGAGCUUGCUCCUGGAUUCAGCGGCGGACGGGUGAGUAAUGCCUAGGAAUCUGCCUGGUAGUGGGGGAUAACGUCCGGAAACGGGCGCUAAUACCGCAUACGUCCUGAGGGAGAAAGUGGGGGAUCUUCGGACCUCACGCUAUCAGAUGAGCCUAGGUCGGAUUAGCUAGUUGGUGGGGUAAAGGCCUACCAAGGCGACGAUCCGUAACUGGUCUGAGAGGAUGAUCAGUCACACUGGAACUGAGACUCGGUCCAGACUCCUACGGGAGGCAGCAGUGGGGAAUAUUGGACAAUGGGCGAAAGCCUGAUCCAGCCAUGCCGCGUGUGUGAAGAAGGUCUUCGGAUUGUAAAUCACUUUAAGUUGGGAGGAAGGGCAGUAAGUUAAUACCUUGCUGUUUUGACGUUACCAACAGAAUAAGCACCGGCUAACUUCGUG